AACCUGCCUGAGCCCUGGGUCACGUUUCAGCGGCGGCAGGGGCCGAAAACGCCGCUCAUUUCUCAGCUCCAUUUACAAGAGCUGCAAGUGGAACAGCACAUAGCAGACUGACUGACGUAAGGCACAGGUGGUGGUAAGACAUAAAUCCUGGAAGCUCUCUCCACAAUGGUCAAACGCCAAGAAAUGGAGCAGUUUACUGGAACAGCAGCAGUUUCUGAUGUCUUUGCAAUGCCAGUUUCAACUAGAAAGAUUCUGUGCUGCUUUAGUGUGUGGGUCUGAGCUUCACAUGAGGGGAUGGUGAGCUCU
This is a long non-coding RNA of Passer montanus (Eurasian tree sparrow), 306 nucleotides long. RefSeq lists it as uncharacterized. The transcript is spliced from 3 exons. Lineage: Eukaryota; Metazoa; Chordata; Aves; Passeriformes; Passeridae. The record is from RefSeq and is a predicted model, not a curated record.